This 464-nucleotide ribosomal RNA is filed under the name uncultured bacterium. Its description in RNAcentral is "partial 16S ribosomal RNA". It matches the Rfam family "Bacterial small subunit ribosomal RNA", at positions 28 to 507 of the family's 1533-position model. The record is from RNAcentral.
GACGAACGCUGGCGGCGUGCUUAACACAUGCAAGUCGAACGGAAAGGCGCUGAUUGCGGGGUACUCGAGUGGCGAACGGGUGAGUAACACGUGGGUGAUCUGCCCUGCACUUCGGGAUAAGCCAGGGAAACAGGGUGUAAUAACGGAUAGGAGCCAUUUUUAGUGUGAUGGUUGGAAAGUUUUUGCGGUGUAGGAUGAGCUUGCCGCCUAUCAGCUUGUUGGUGGGGUAAUGGCCUACCAAGGCGGCGAAGGGUAGCCGGCCUGAGAGGGUGGACGGCCACAUUGGUCCUGAGGUACGGCCCAGUCUCCUACCGGAGGCAGCAGUGGGGAGUAUUGCACAAUGGGCGCAAGCCUGAUGCAGCGACGCCGCGUUGGGGAUGACGGCCUUCGGGUUGUAAACUCCUUUCGCUAGGGACGAAGCUUUUGUGACGGUACCUAGAUAAGAAGCACCGGCUAACUACGUG